Molecule: ribosomal RNA, 119 nt
Filed under: Volvox carteri f. nagariensis
Lineage: Eukaryota; Viridiplantae; Chlorophyta; Chlorophyceae; Chlamydomonadales; Volvocaceae
Description: 5.8S ribosomal RNA
Rfam family: 5.8S ribosomal RNA
About the family: 5.8S ribosomal RNA (5.8S rRNA) is a component of the large subunit of the eukaryotic ribosome. It is transcribed by RNA polymerase I as part of the 45S precursor that also contains 18S and 28S rRNA.
Source: Rfam by way of RNAcentral
ACAACCCAACAGCGAAAUGCGAUACGUAGUGUGAAAAUUGCAGAAAUACGUGAAUCAUCGAAUCUUUGAACGCAAAUUGCGCUUGAGGCUUCGGCCAAGAGCAUGUCUGCCUCAGCGUC